CGAAUACAUUAGCAUGGGAUAAUGGAAUAGGACCCUGUCCUCCUAUUUUCAGUUGGUUUUGGCAGCGCGAGGACUAGGGUAAUGAUUAAUAGGGAUAGUUGGGGGCAUUAAUAUUUAAUUGUCAGAGGUGAAAUUCUUGGAUUUAUGAAAGAUUAACUUCUGCGAAAGCAUCUGCCAAGGAUGUUUUCAUUAAUCAAGAACGAAAGUUAGGGGAUCGAAGACGAUCAGAUACCGUCGUAGUCUUAACCAUAAACGAUGCCGACCAGCGAUUAGGAGACGUUGAAUACAAAACACCACCAUCGGCGCGGUCGUCCUUGGCGUGUCUCGGCUUCACGGCUGGGGCGCGCGAGGGCGGUUUAGCCCGGUGGCACCGGUGA
Molecule: ribosomal RNA, 377 nt
Filed under: Acanthamoeba sp. ERC-S2
Lineage: Eukaryota; Discosea; Longamoebia; Acanthamoebidae
Description: SSU rRNA
Rfam family: Eukaryotic small subunit ribosomal RNA (bases 1-332)
Source: RNAcentral